RNAcentral lists this ribosomal RNA (372 nucleotides) under uncultured bacterium. RNAcentral describes it as "bacterial SSU rRNA". It matches the Rfam family "Bacterial small subunit ribosomal RNA", at positions 527 to 896 of the family's 1533-position model. The record is from RNAcentral.
GUAGGUGGCGAACGUUAUCCGGAAUUAUUGGGCGUAAAGGGUGCGUAGAUGGCCGGACAAGUUAACAGUGGUAAAUCGAGGCUCAACCUCGUGGAAACUGAUAAUACUGUCUGGCUCGAGUGCAGAAGAGGUUAACGGAAUUCCAUGUGGAGCGGUAAAAUGCACAGAUAUAUGGAAGAACACCAAUAACGGCGAAGGCAGUUAACUAUUCUGUUACUGACAUUGAGGCACGAAAGCGUGGGGAGCAAAACGGAUUAGAUACCCGUGUAGUCCACGCCCUAAACGAUGAGUGCUAGAUAUUGGGAACUUGAUUCUCAGUGUCGCUAGAUAACUCGGUAAGCACUCCGCCUGGGUAGUACGGUCGCAAGGCUG